This 334-nucleotide long non-coding RNA is filed under the name Olea europaea (common olive). Its description in RNAcentral is "long non-coding RNA (OEUR_LNC004788)". The record is from RNAcentral. Lineage: Eukaryota; Viridiplantae; Streptophyta; Magnoliopsida; Lamiales; Oleaceae.
CGCUAUCCUUCAGGUAAACGUUGGGUAAACUCUUGAUCUGAUGCAAUAGCCUGUAAAUCACGUCAGUCAGGUAAACCGUACUAGACAAUCCCUAUGCGACAGGCUCGAUCAAGCAAGUAUUGGUAGGGGGAAUCGAACUCGUGAUCAAAGGUUUCCGCGCUCACCUACUCCGUCAACUCGAUCACCCCAUAUGAGGCUACUUUUCUUCUAAUCUACCUCUCGACUAAAGGAGGUUCAACAAAAUGAAUCAUGCAAUAGGCCUUUUCAUUUCUUAGGGAAUGGAGGCGGCUCUUUCACUAUCAAUUGACAAGGUCGAAGUUACUCUAUUUAAUCA